UGGGGAAUAUUGGACAAUGGGCGCAAGCCUGAUCCAGCCAUGCCGCGUGUGUGAAGAAGGCCUUUUGGUUGUAAAGCACUUAAGCGAGGGGGGGGGUACUGAGGUUAAUUCUCUUGGAUAGUGGACGUUACUCGCAGAAUAAGCACCGGCUAACCCUGUGCCAGCAGCCGCGGUAAUACAGAGGGUGCGAGCGUUAAUCGGAUUUACUGGGCGUAAAGCGUGCGUAGGCGGCUUCUUAAGUCGGAUGUGAAAUCCCUGAGCUUAACUUAGGAAUUGCAUUCGAUACUGGGAAGCUAGAGUAUGGGAGAGGAUGGUAGAAUUCCAGGUGUAGCGGUGAAAUGCGUAGAGAUCUGGAGGAAUACCGAUGGCGAAGGCAGCCAUCUGGCCUAAUACUGACGCUGAGGUACGAAAGCAUGGGGAGCAAACAGG
This 429-nucleotide ribosomal RNA is filed under the name bacterium. RNAcentral's name for it is "partial 16S ribosomal RNA". It matches the Rfam family "Bacterial small subunit ribosomal RNA", at positions 355 to 776 of the family's 1533-position model. The record is from RNAcentral.